Molecule: ribosomal RNA, 239 nt
Filed under: uncultured bacterium
Lineage: Bacteria
Description: partial 16S ribosomal RNA
Rfam family: Bacterial small subunit ribosomal RNA
Source: RNAcentral
GAUCCUGGCUCAGGAUAAACGCUGGCGGCGCACAUAAGACAUGCAAGUCGAACGAACUUAAUCGAUUCUUUUAGAUUCGAAGCGGUUAGUGGCGGGCUGGUGAGUAACACGUAAGCAACCUACCUAUUAGAGGGGAAUAACAGUGAGAAAUCACUGCUAAAACCGCAUAUGCCGUGAAUAUCGCAUGAUAAAAACGGGAAAAGAGCAAUCUGCUAAUAGAUGGGCUUGCGUCUGAUUAG